Long non-coding RNA from Lolium rigidum, 2357 nucleotides. RefSeq lists it as uncharacterized. The transcript is spliced from 6 exons. The record is from RefSeq and is a predicted model, not a curated record. Lineage: Eukaryota; Viridiplantae; Streptophyta; Magnoliopsida; Poales; Poaceae.
CAGGUGGAGAAAAGGCGUGCGCGUGGUCGCCGGCGGAGCGGCGGGAUUGGAUUGGGGGUGGAGCUCCAGCAUCCUCUCUCAGCGGAACCGGCGCUGAAGGCCGGCGGCCUCCUCUCUCCCUUGGCGCCAUGGGGGUCGUGUCGCUUGGCUGAGGACAGGAAGCGGGAGGAAGGAAGCGGCGGGUGCGUGCCGGCCUUCUUCUCCACCCCAGCCUAGAGCAUCACGGCUCUGAUAGUCCUGUGAAGCACCCUCCCCGACGGCUAGCUCGUGUGAUUCGGCAAAACAGACCACCACCUGCAGGUCGAUCUCUUUUCCCCAAUGCUUUCUACAUGGUUUGAAGUCCCCAUUGUUCAGUAGAUCGAAGGGAUUAUAGUUGGUCCUGAGUGAUUGGCACAAAAGAUCCAAACAUACUAGGUGCUCUGGUUGUGAUUUUGGUGCGUAACAGGUGUUUGUUGCUGCGCGUAAAAGAACCAAAUCAGUAUAUUUUCAGAUUUCUCAUUUGGUCCAUGAAAACUGAACUGAUUUAAGAUCAAAUUAGUCACAUUGAUAAAGUGGACGAGCCACUUUCUAUGAAUGCAAAUUGACAUAAGAAAACCCCCUUCCUUCCAUCAGUAUGUUUUUCUAUUAAUAUGCAGGCUAAACAUAUACAUGAUUUCAACUGUGAAAUAGUGUGAACUGGGACCUAAAUCUCAUGCUCUCAUUUUUUAUUAUUAUAGAUAAGUUUCUACUGUACAUAUUACAUUUCAUCUACUGUAUUUUGCCAAGUUAUAUGAAGAUAACUUUUAUCUUGCUGCAGGUGUUAGGUUUUUUUUUUUGAAAUAUCGUCUCUCUCACCCCCUCGGUUUGAGGCAUUGAGUACUGGAAAGAGUAAUCCUGGUCAAUUUAUUUUCUACUUUGCGUACGCAAUUUAAUCUGAUGUGAUUACAUCCUAUUCUUGCUUACAUUUGGUUUUUAAUACCACAUCAAUUUAAUCUGAUGUGAUUACAUCCUAUUCUUGCUUACAUUUGGUUUUUAAUACCACAUCAUUACCGUGCGGAGGUAACCUGGCUGACAAUGCUAUUUUUGUUCUCAAAUGUGAGCUGGAGCUUGGAUUUUACACUAUCCGGUUGUUGGAGCACGAAAGACUGACUAACGCUUGGCUUUAUUUGCUUUUCAUGCCAUCAAAGGUUGAUUGGAGGAAAAAUGUUCCAGCAAACUAGGAAAAGAAAAGGUUCAAUCCUCUGUCUAAGGUAAACCCUUGCCUUCAAAUAUUCCUUACGAAAUGAUGUCACUGUUGUUGGGGAUCAGUUAUGUCGAUAGCAAGGAUAUAUUAUUUAGCUGGAUUUUGUUUUCUUUGCAAACUGCUACUGGGUACGUUGGUAUGUUAUUAGCUUUUGGUCAAAUUAAUUUCUUUUCUUACCCUAUUUUCCUGAGAACAAACAAGAAGCAAUAAAAUGAGGCUGCGUAUCUCCAUGUAAUAGCUAGAAGAUAUAGAUAUGACAGUGUAUCUUUUACAUGUAUGAGUCAGGCAAGGCAUCCCGAUGAUAACUAUAUUUCGCCGAAUUUUGUUUACAUGGUGGCUAUUCGUGCAUUUCGUUUUAUAUUCAUAUGAUACUUGGAAAGCUCAGGGACGAGCACGAUGAUGGAAAUAGCAUCCAUGAGUUCGCCCACCGGAAGUACCACAAGCUCGGUGAGUUUGGAGGCGGCCUCGGUCUCGAACUUCGAUUGCCUCUCCUCUGCGGCCCUCCUGGAGAUGGACGCCUCUGGGUUCCAGCCAGACCAGCAGCACUGCGACAAUUUACAUGCACAGAACAAUGUCUACACGGACAUGUUGAUCAUCAGAAGUGAAGAAUCAAGAUAUCAUCAUAAGUGAAGAAUCAAGAUGCAAUCAAUAUGUGGAUUAUAGAUAUGCCUGUGCGUGCAAGAGGUUUCAGAUCACCACUGACAUCAAAGAGUAACUUCAGUCCUUGGCUAAAAAUACUCUCUCCAGCAAAGAAUAUCGUGUUAGCAAAUCCGAUGCUACAGAUUUCUAUAUUGAUUCAAAGAUGGAUUCUCAAAUUACUACAGAGAAGCAAGAGUGUCAACUUUCUUGAAAAUUUAAGGAGAAAGAAGAAAUCUGUGCUGCCCAGUGCCCUCCAGCAGAAGGUACGAGGUAAAAUAGCUGAUGCUGUUAAUAGCUAAUUACCUGCAAAGCCGGCCAUAAAUGUCCACACUGUCCUAAUGCAAAUAGUGGAGUUGGAGCGCAAACUUCGACAACAGCACUAAUCAGACUCCAAGGGAUAAUCUUUCAAUAAUUUUUGUGUACUAUGGAGAUUUGGAGCAGUGCAAGGAGACUAUGUCAAUCUUCAUUUAUACCGAAUAGAAAUACUACAAGGUUU